GGGGGCGAUCCGGUUUCGACCUGGCCCGGACGCCAGAGGCGGCAUGCCGAGGAUGAUGCGUUGGCCUCGUUAAUCAUCGCAUCAAAAGAAAACUGCUAACGAAGAGUUGGCUCUCGCGGCCUGAUGCGCCGCGACGUUCGCCGGCUGACGCCUGCUGGGCCGGACGAACGCGAUAGCAGGCUGGGGCCGGACCCGGGGACGGCGCGGGUCUGCCCGAGAAAACCUCAUGCCGUCAGGGCGGUCGGGUUCGCGUCCGCAGGUGAUCCGAUCGCCGUCAACCGCUGCGGACUAAGCAUGUAGGCGCCGCUGGCUACCGUGUCAGGGACGGGGGUUCGACUCCCCCCGCCUCCACCA
Molecule: transfer-messenger RNA, 354 nt
Filed under: Limisphaera ngatamarikiensis
Lineage: Bacteria; Pseudomonadati; Verrucomicrobiota; Verrucomicrobiia; Limisphaerales; Limisphaeraceae
Description: Standard tmRNA
Rfam family: transfer-messenger RNA
About the family: Bacterial tmRNA, also known as 10Sa RNA or SsrA, is named for its dual tRNA and mRNA-like properties. Its role is to liberate the mRNA from a stalled ribosome. To accomplish this part of the tmRNA is used as a reading frame that ends in a translation stop signal.
Source: Rfam by way of RNAcentral